GGGGGUAUAGCCCAGAGGUAGAGUAUUCGACUGCAGAUCGAGAGGUCCGUUGUUCAACUCCGCGUGCCCUCU
This 72-nucleotide transfer RNA is filed under the name Angiostrongylus costaricensis. It matches the Rfam family "tRNA". From Rfam's summary of the family: Transfer RNA (tRNA) molecules are approximately 80 nucleotides in length. Their secondary structure includes four short double-helical elements and three loops (D, anti-codon, and T loops). Further hydrogen bonds mediate the characteristic L-shaped molecular structure. tRNAs have two regions of fundamental functional importance: the anti-codon, which is responsible for specific mRNA codon recognition, and the 3' end, to which the tRNAs corresponding amino acid is attached (by aminoacyl-tRNA synthetases). tRNAs cope with the degeneracy of the genetic code in two manners: having more than one tRNA (with a specific anti-codon) for a particular amino acid; and 'wobble' base-pairing, i.e. permitting non-standard base-pairing at the 3rd anti-codon position. Lineage: Eukaryota; Metazoa; Nematoda; Chromadorea; Rhabditida; Metastrongylidae. The record is from Rfam by way of RNAcentral.